GAUGAACGCUGGCGGCGUGCCUAAUACAUGCAAGUCGAGCGAACAGACGAGGAGCUUGCUUCUCUGACGUUAGCGGCGGACGGGUGAGUAACACGUGGAUAACCGACCUAUAAGACUGGGAUAACUUCGGGAAACCGGAGCUAAUACCGGAUAAUAUAUUGAACCGCAUGGUUCAAUAGUGAAAGACGGUUUUGCUGUCACUUAUAGAUGGAUCCGCGCCGCAUUAGCUAGUUGGUAAGGUAACGGCUUACCAAGGCAACGAUGCGUAGCCGACCUGAGAGGGUGAUCGGCCACACUGGGACUGAGACACGGUCCAGACUCCUACGGGAGGCAGCAGUAGGGAAUCUUCCGCAAUGGGCGAAAGCCUGACGGAGCAACGCCGCGUGAGUGAUGAAGGUCUUCGGAUCGUAAAACUCUGUUAUUAGGGAAGAACAAAUGUGUAAGUAACUAUGCACGUCUUGACGGUACCUAAUCAGAAAGCCACGGCUAACUACGUG
This 497-nucleotide ribosomal RNA is filed under the name uncultured bacterium. Its description in RNAcentral is "partial 16S ribosomal RNA". It matches the Rfam family "Bacterial small subunit ribosomal RNA", at positions 28 to 507 of the family's 1533-position model. The record is from RNAcentral.